This 452-nucleotide ribosomal RNA is filed under the name uncultured Porphyromonadaceae bacterium. RNAcentral describes it as "partial 16S ribosomal RNA". It matches the Rfam family "Bacterial small subunit ribosomal RNA", at positions 341 to 792 of the family's 1533-position model. Lineage: Bacteria; Pseudomonadati; Bacteroidota; Bacteroidia; Bacteroidales; Porphyromonadaceae. The record is from RNAcentral.
ACGGGAGGCGCAGUGAGGAAUAUUGGUCAAUGGGCGAGAGCCUGAACCAGCCAAGUCGCGUGAAGGAUGAAGGUUCUAUGGAUUGUAAACUUCUUUUGUUCGAGGGUAAAGUGAGUCACGUGUGAUUUAUUGCAAGUAUCGAACGAAUAAGCAUCGGCUAACUCCGUGCCAGCAGCCGCGGUAAUACGGCGGAUGCGAGCGUUAUCCGGAUUUAUUGGGUUUAAAGGGUGCGUAGGCGGGAUGUUAAGUCAGCGGGUAAAUAGUGUAGCUCAAGUAUACUUUGCCGUUGAAACUGGCGGGCUUGAGUGUAGACGAGGUAGGCGGAAUGUGACGUGUAGCGGUGAAAUGCUUAGAUAUGUCACAGAACCCCGAUUGCGAAGGCAGCUUACCAGGAUACAACUGACGCUGAGGCACGAAAGCGUGGGUAUCAAACAGGAUUAGAUACCCUGGUA